CAAUGAUCAUGAAUUGAUCUCGUUCAUUUUGAUUUCAUCAUGAUUUGAUUGUUGUAGCUAGUAGAGAAUAGAUCUAUUUCAACUUUCAAGAUGGAAAGCUUGGAAAGACUAUAUUAGUAGUCCAUGACACUGACAAGUGACACUGUACCGCACUGCACUAAUCUCAGUGAUUUGAUAAUUAUGUAAGCAAUUGUUUUAAUCUAAAGUUGUCUAUGCAUGCAUUAUAUUUGUUUUUUGUGAAUUACGUCUUUAAUUAUCUAUUGAAUUUGUAUAUUUAACAAUAAUUUUAUUUUAAGUCAAGUUACAUCAUAAUAAUAUACAGCAAAAUAUUUAUUGUCCUUUAAUACUCAUCACUGUUUAAUAUCCAUCAUUGUCAUCGUAAUGGUAUUUUUGUGGGUGGCCAUAUUCAUACUCAUCCUUCACACA
Molecule: long non-coding RNA, 426 nt
Organism: Amphimedon queenslandica
Lineage: Eukaryota; Metazoa; Porifera; Demospongiae; Haplosclerida; Niphatidae
Exons: 2
Source: RefSeq, a predicted model, not a curated record